Molecule: long non-coding RNA, 19165 nt
Organism: Drosophila subpulchrella
Lineage: Eukaryota; Metazoa; Arthropoda; Insecta; Diptera; Drosophilidae
Exons: 3
Source: RefSeq, a predicted model, not a curated record
AAAAAACAGAAAAACAUUUCCGAAAAAUAUAAUUUUGAUUUGAAUCUAAUGGAGAUUUUCAAAGAAUAUCGAUUUGCGUUUGCGAGUGUUGUAAAAAUGUCUAGAUUGCAAAAAUUGUUUUCUAUUGCUUAGAGAAACAAUAUUGCUACAAGAGUAGAAGUAAAAGUCGGAAAGUAUGUAACAGGUAGAAGGAAGCGUAUUCCUAUAAAGUGUAUAAAUUCUUGAUCACGAUCACAAGCGGAGUCGAUCUAGCCAUGACCAUGACCGUCGGAAACUAUUAUAGUGAGAAAGAUGGGACUUGGCAUGUAGAUUCUCGAGCUUCUUGUGCAGCGCAAGUUUAUUUAUAUGAUUUUCUAAAGUUAAGGGCGAAUUUCACUCAUUCAUAAAAAAAGUCAGAAUAGAUAGGUUAGGUUAGGUAGGUAUGGCUGGAGACUAGACAACUAGUCCCCCCACUUAGGCCACACUGGGCCCCUUGUGAUACCAUGUAAUCUCUGUGCAGAUCCUUUUCCCUAGCUCAUGGGUUAUUGGGUUUCUCGAACAAGUUUGUUCUUUUAAGGAAACAUAGGAGUUUGGGAAUGCUUACGCCCUGUAUGGCCGCAAGGUUCGGAAGUGUGUAGCUCCCUAGGGCUUGAAAACGUUUGAGGUUAUGCGCUGGGCAGAAGCAUAGGAGGUGUUCAAGGCUCUCCUCUUCGUCUGCUUUCAGCUGCGGCAGUAGUCGUGGUUGCUGAGUAAGACUUAUAAGACAAUGGCCCGUGAGGGCAGUUAUGAGAGUGGAAAUGUCUUCCCUGUUGCAUUGUAGGAGAGUUUUUGUUUUUUUCGGGUUGUAGUUUGGCCAAGUGAGCCUGGAAUUGUGGCAAGUUGAGGUUGCGCUCCAUCGGUUGUUGGAGAGGCUGUACAAUCUCUGCCUAAGGAGGAGCUUACAGGUAGCCAUGUGCACACCCACGGUGUCCUUAUCGCGAAGGAUAUCGGCGUUUGUCCCUUGUCUUGCUAACUGGUCUGCUAUGCAGUUGCCCUCAAUAUUACGGUGUCCAGGCAUACAGAUGAGGUUGAUUCUCAGAUGAGUGACCAUGUCAUACAGAGAUUUGCGGCAUUCAAAGAUGGUUGCUGAGCUAGCUGUAUAGGAGACGGGGGCCCUGAGGACUGCUUGACUAUCCGAAACGAUGUAAAUGUCUGUGUCGUGAUGUUCUGAUGUAUCCAGGAGGGACAUGGCUUCCUGGAUUGCCAUGACUUCCUGUUGGAAAACACUACAGUGAUGUGGUAGGCGAAAUCAGACCUUAAUGUCCAGUUCAGGCGAGAACACUCCCCCACCUGCUUGGAAAUAAGCUUGGAGCCGUAUGUUGACGUCGUUUUCGAAUUGGUUUGGGAGGAUGUCCCAGUCUGAACGGGUAGGUAUGAAGAUCUUGUAUCUUCUUUCGAAGUUGACUAUGGGUGAAACGUAGUCUUUAUCUGAUUUGCGAUCAGGAAAUUUUCCUUGCCGCAGGAUAACCACGUCGUCCACGUAACCACUUUAGUGCCCGCUUUCUGUAGAAGUGACAGUAGUUUGUUGACCACUAUUACCCAUAGAAGAGGUGAGGGUACACCGCCUUGCCGGGUUCCUCUACUGAAAGUCCUGGUCGACUGUGCGGGUCCCAUAGUAGAGUAUGAGUCCCACUAUAGGCCGCUCAAUGCCAAGUGCAGUCAGAGCACCGUUGAUAGCAGUUGGGGUGACGCUGUUGAAGGUGCCUUCUAUGUCUAGAAAAGCUGCCAAAGAGUAUUCCUUGUUGCGGAAACCCCUCUCUAUACAAGAUUCUAGGGAGUGGAAGGCGGUACCUGUUGAUCUGCCUUUACGGUAUAAAUAUUACUUUAACGGCCAGCCACCUGGAUGGAAUGUGCCUUAGUGCAAGGCAACCGUGGAAGAUGGCUACCAGCCAAGGGAGUGAUGUGUUUAGUGUUCGUUGUAGUGGGGCCGUGAAGAACCCAUCAGAGCCGGGGGAUUUGAAGGUCUUAAAAGAAUUAAUAGCCCACUUGAUGCGGUCAGGGCUAUGCUCUGAUCGUCGAGGGUCCCCUCUAUGUAGAGGUCCUCCACUGGUUGGGUGUUUUUAGGGAAAUGGGUGUCUAGCAGAAGUUCAAGGGCUUGGCUGUUUUCCGUCCAGGUGUCAUCAUUGGUUUUAAGGUAGCCAAUGUUUGCUGGAGGUUUUGCUAAGAUUCUUCUGAAUCUGGAUGCCUCCGCAGUACAUUCUAUGCUACUGCAGAAGCCCAUUUCCUUCGCUUCGAUGUUCUUAUUUCUUUUUUGUAUGGGCUUAGAUUUGUAUGGUUUAUGUUCCAGGAAGCUUCGCUGUUGUCAUACUUAGCUCUAUUGAAGUAGGUUCUGCACUCGCUUUAAAGGUUCGUCAGGGUUGUGUUCCACCAGGGCGGUUUGACUAUUGUUUUGACCGUUCUGCUUGGGCAAUACUUUUUUAUGGCUUCACUGCAGAUGUCAGUGAAAGUAUUGACUAGGUUAUCUAGUUCUUGACCGUUGAGUACGUGCGUAGGUGGAGCAUGUAAGUUUCUGUUGAGUAGUUUUUUGUAAUAAUCCCAGUUGGUUAGUCUUAGAUUUGUAAUGUUCUCGGCCUGAGGAAUGUCUAGAGUUAUUGAAAAUUCUAUGUACCGGUGGUCUUAGAAUGAGUGUUCGAACCCCACUUUCCACGAUUCAAGCUGGUUAAGCAGGUGAUCAGUUAUUACUGUAAUGUCUAAGAGCAGCAGAUGCUGUGGUGCAGAUAAAUCUGCAGAAACAGCGCCAUCCACUAUGUCCUGGAGUACAGUGCGCGCCGGUCGGGUCGUGCCCUGUGUGCACAGCUGCUUCAGGCUUUCGGUGAGCUCUGGGUCAGUUGGCGCGUACCCUGUAUGGUUGGCCUCCUCGUGUUCCAACUCGUCGUCACUCGGGGGUUCGAAGGACGCGCAGGCAGCGUCCGCUAGUUUAUUCGUGUCGUAGAUGCGGAGUUGCACCUUGUCGAACCCAUAGUUCGGCCGGUUCUGCUGCGUUGCGAGGGGCUCUAAGCAUGCCUGGUUAAAAAGGAUCACCAUGUUCAUGGUGACGCGAUCGGUUUUCUCCACCUUAACCACUUUCCAACCAUCUGUCGGAAGCCUCGCAAACCUUGGUGAUGACUGGUUGCGCUAUAUCCAUCGACCUCUAUCUUGUUGCUUUGGCUUGUGGUCAGAGCGAUAUUAAAGUCUGGGAUAACCGUCUUUGCCCAGGCUAUGUCCUCUAGGAAUUUUCUGUAAUCCUCCUUAGACGUUUUGUCCUCUCUUAUGGGGUUGGUGGGCAGCCGUUUGAGGAUGCGGAACGCCUUCUUCCAUUCAAGAGGCCCUGCCUGGUUAGGUGGUGUCCUUUUGAACUUAUUGGCCCUGGUGCUUACCACAAGAUCAGCCUUGGCACGCCCUUCAGGUUGGACUGGCUGGUUUGCCGCUCCUACGCUGGUGGGAGGUUUGGGCUGAUCAUUGUGGGGUUUCGGGGCUUGUCGACUGCGUUGUUCGCUGGCCUUGGCAGGUGUAUAAGUCGUGUGGACUUGGGCUAUCGGAGCACCACUCUUGGUCUUCUGAUCUCAAUAGAUUCCACGAGCUGCGGAGAAAGAACUGGUCCACCCGGGCAGAGAUCCGCUGGGCCCGGGUAAGGCAAACUUAGAACAGGCGGUCGCCACAUGCCUGAGCCCAUCGUUUGAUACUGAGUUAUUUUUUUACUCGGGCUCUUAGCCAGAUUGACUUUUGGCACGGUACGAGUUACACCUUAGUCCAGGCCGGGGUAAGAUGAGUGGGGGGGAUAGGGAAGAGGUAGGUUUAGCAUGUGGGGAGGGGUUUUUUAAAAUUUAUUUUUUAUAUUCAUUUAUUACCUACACGUAUAUACAGACUAAAAGAUAAGUACAAGCAACAGGAGUAGGGGGCCGUGAUUGCGCGGUAUCACCGCAAGGUCUUGCUUCGCGCAAUGGUAUCCACCUAGGCUGUAGCUCCUCUCCUCUCGUUAUCGAUGCGACGCAGCGUUCGCAGUACACUCGCUACGUAGGCUGCCGUCGCUCCCCAAUUCACCUCAUUCAGCAGCAUGAGGGGCAAAAAAGUUUCUAGCCGAACACUUGCCCCGGUGGUCUCCAUCAGUAUUUGGCAGUCGUAUCCAAAGCGGCGACAUUCAAAGAGGACAUGCUGAGCUUCCUCAACAAUUCCACUGCCGCACUCUGGGCAGCCGUCCUCCGUGUCGUGUUCGAAGCGCAUAAGGAAGCUUCGGAAGCAACCAUGUCCACUUAGCGCCUGCGUGAGGUAAAAAUCUACCUGGCCGUGCUUCCUGUUUACCCAAGGCUCUAUGCUGGGCAUGAGCUGGUGCGUCCAGCGUCCCUCGCUGGAGUUGUCCCAAGCUGCCUGCCAGUUGUCGACGCUCUGCAUCCUGGCACUGCUCUUCACCUCGGUCUUGGCUCUGUGGUCCGCCUGAUCGCCUGCUAGAGCCUCGCGAAUCUCCUUGGCCUCCCGCACCAGUUCACAUAGGGGAACUUGGCCUGCAAUGACAAGCGCUGCGUCGUCCGAGAAUCUCCUUGGCCUCCCGCACCAGUUCACAUAGGGGAACUUGGCCUGCAAUGACAAGCGCUGCGUCGUCCGAGAUCGUCCUAAAGGCACUCGAUAUUCUGACGGCACAAAGGCGGUACGUCGAGUUAACCCCUCGCAUGUAGCUGCUCACAGCCGUGGCCUCGGUCCACACCGGAGCAGCGUACAGCAAGUGGGAUUUGACAACGGUCGCGAGGAGCUUACGUCUGUCCUGCUUCGGUCCCCUGGUGUUCAGCAGGAUCCUGCAGAGCGAUCCCGUGAUCUCACUUGCUUUUUUAUUUACGUACUCUAAGUGUUCGCGGUAGGAGAGGCGGGUGUCCAGCAUGACUCCCAGCUACCUUAUGGCACGCUAAGAUACUAUCGUUGUCCCUCCGAUCUGGAUAUGCGCUGACUCCACUGCUUUCCUGCUUGAUAUCAGCACCGCUUAUUUUUUGUGUGAUGCCAGCUCUAGGCCCGCCAAUGAGAGCCACUCCUCCACUGCUCGAAAUGCGCAGUUUGCAGCUGCUUCCACGGCACCAACUUCCUUGGCCACCACAACCAGCGCGACAUCAUCUGCAAAGGCAACUAAUUUGGUGCUGCUCGGCAGUGGGAGCUUCAGAACUCCGUCAUACAUCGUGACUCACCUCGUAAGUCCUGGGGCCCAUAGAGGUUUCUAGGACCAGCUCCCUUUUGCUGAGGUAGCUGUGCACUACAUUCAGCAGGUAUUCCGGGAUGUUGAAGGACCGUAGUGCCUCCAGUGUUAUCGCCCAAUCGGCUGAGUUGAAAGCAUUCAGUAUGUCCAGCGUGACCACUAGAAAAUACUUUUUCGUCCCAUCUGGUACCAGCGAUGGCUUUAGCAGCAAUAUUGGUGACCCUCUCUAUCGCGUCCAGUGUCGAUUUCCCUUUCCGGAAACCGUAUUGGUUGGAAGAAAGUCCGACGGCAUCCUCCAUAGCAGCAUUAAGCCUUGUUGCAAUGACCCUUUCGAAGACCUUGCCUAUAGUGUCCAGCAGGCAGAUGGGUCUAUAAGAAGAGGCUCCACCCGUUGGUUUCCCUGGCUUUGGCAGGAGCAAGAGUUUUUGGCGCUUCCACCUGUCGGGGAAGGUCCCUUCCAGCAGGCUAGUGUAGAGCGAUGCUACCGCACCCGGAUGGAGGAAUCGCAGGGUCUUCACUGCACUGUUCGGGAUCAGAUCCGGCCCAGGUGCCUUCCUGUACUUCAAGAUUCUUGCCACAGAUAAUAUUUCCGUCUCCGUGACCGGACAUAUCGGGCUCCCAAUUUGUCGCGUCCAUCGGGGGAUGCAAUGGGGGCGGCCUUCUGGGAACAGCACUUGGACAAUACCUUCUAGGACCGCUGGGUCAGUAGGCGACCUAAUGCCGGCAUUCACACGCUUGACCACCGUCUUGGGUCGUUUUCCAGCUCGUCACAGAGCUUGAGGUAGCUUUCCCUCUUGCUGUCCCGCAUCGAUAGUUUGAGUGCCUUCUUUGCACUCCAAAAGCUCGAGUUGCAGCUAGCGAUUUCCUCACUCCACCAGUACACUGGCGCGUGGCGCUUCCAAUCCUUCCAGUGCACUGGCAAAGGUCUGUGGCCUAAAGGUGUCUUGGCGGUAGGCUUUUCUUGGCCCAGUCGUCGGCUGACUUUGACACGGAGGACCGCCAACUGUCAGCAGGAUGGCCUCAUGGUUGCUGGCCGUGAACACCUCGCCUAUCCUCCAGCGUUUGCUGCGGGAUAAAGAGCUGAGAGAGAGAGAGAUGAUUGAACCGGCCCCAGUUCUUUUGAAGGUGUGCUGGGUGCCCUCGUUCAACAGGACUAUGACCAGCGACACAAUAGCUUCGAGGAUGGUGCGCCCCCUGGCGUUGGUAUAGAGGGAGCCCCAUUCCUCGGCCCAGGCGUUAAAGUCGCCUCCGAUCACCACGUUGCUCCGUCCUCUCAGGUCGCUGCUCAACUCGUCCAGGAUCCUGCUUAAGGACGUCAGUGACAGACUGGGGCCAGAUAACAGCUGUAGAGCCACGUGCCGCCUACGUUCGCUCGGACGAACCCCUCUACUGCCCUCAUGUCCCGCACGGGUGGUGCACCCACUCCGCAGAGCCACAGUGCCGCUUUGCCUGUGCGAUCCGUGACCCAAUCGCUACUGCUUACCACUCUGUAGGGCUCACUGAGUAUCGCCACCUCAGAACCCAGCUCGCGCACCAUCUGCUUCAGGAGGUCCUGCGCGGCCUCCUGUGGUUCAGGUUUAGCCGAAUCAACUUCAUGUCGGUCCAGGUCUCCCUGUCCCGCUGGUUGUGGCUGAGCAGAAUCUGCUUCCUUUUCCCUAGCUCAUGGGUUAUUGGGUUUCUCGAACAAGUUUGUUCUUUUAAGGAAACAUAGGAGUUUGGGAAUGCUUACGCCCUGUAUGGCCGCAAGGUUCGGAAGUGUGUAGCUCCCUAGGGCUUGAAAACGUUUGAGGUUAUGCGCUGGGCAGAAGCAUAGGAGGUGUUCAAGGCUCUCCUCUUCGUCUGCUUUCAGCUGCGGCAGUAGUCGUGGUUGCUGAGUAAGACUUAUAAGACAAUGGCCCGUGAGGGCAGUUAUGAGAGUGGAAAUGUCUUCCCUGUUGCAUUGUAGGAGAGUUUUUGUUUUUUUCGGGUUGUAGUUUGGCCAAGUGAGCCUGGAAUUGUGGCAAGUUGAGGUUGCGCUCCAUCGGUUGUUGGAGAGGCUGUACAAUCUCUGCCUAAGGAGGAGCUUACAGGUAGCCAUGUGCACACCCACGGUGUCCUUAUCGCGAAGGAUAUCGGCGUUUGUCCCUUGUCUUGCUAACUGGUCUGCUAUGCAGUUGCCCUCAAUAUUACGGUGUCCAGGCAUACAGAUGAGGUUGAUUCUCAGAUGAGUGACCAUGUCAUACAGAGAUUUGCGGCAUUCAAAGAUGGUUGCUGAGCUAGCUGUAUAGGAGACGGGGGCCCUGAGGACUGCUUGACUAUCCGAAACGAUGUAAAUGUCUGUGUCGUGAUGUUCUGAUGUAUCCAGGAGGGACAUGGCUUCCUGGAUUGCCAUGACUUCCUUUUGGAAAACACUACAGUGAUGUGGUAGGCGAAAUCAGACCUUAAUGUCCAGUUCAGGCGAGAACACUCCCCCACCUGCUUGGAAAUAAGCUUGGAGCCGUAUGUUGACGUCGUUUUCGAAUUGGUUUGGGAGGAUGUCCCAGUCUGAACGGGUAGGUAUGAAGAUCUUGUAUCUUCUUUCGAAGUUGACUAUGGGUGAAACGUAGUCUUUAUCUGAUUUGCGAUCAGGAAAUUUUCCUUGCCGCAGGAUAACCACGUCGUCCACGUAACCACUUUAGUGCCCGCUUUCUGUAGAAGUGACAGUAGUUUGUUGACCACUAUUACCCAUAGAAGAGGUGAGGGUACACCGCCUUGCCGGGUUCCUCUACUGAAAGUCCUGGUCGACUGUGCGGGUCCCAUAGUAGAGUAUGAGUCCCACUAUAGGCCGCUCAAUGCCAAGUGCAGUCAGAGCACCGUUGAUAGCAGUUGGGGUGACGCUGUUGAAGGUGCCUUCUAUGUCUAGAAAAGCUGCCAAAGAGUAUUCCUUGUUGCGGAAACCCCUCUCUAUACAAGAUUCUAGGGAGUGGAAGGCGGUACCUGUUGAUCUGCCUUUACGGUAUAAAUAUUACUUUAACGGCCAGCCACCUGGAUGGAAUGUGCCUUAGUGCAAGGCAACCGUGGAAGAUGGCUACCAGCCAAGGGAGUGAUGUGUUUAGUGUCCGUUGUAGUGGGGCCGUGAAGAACCCAUCAGAGCCGGGGGAUUUGAAGGUCUUAAAAGAAUUAAUAGCCCACUUGAUGCGGUCAGGGCUGUGCUCUGAUCGUCGAGGGUCCCCUCUAUGUAGAGGUCCUCCACUGGUUGGGUGUUUUUAGGGAAAUGGGUGUCUAGCAGAAGUUCAAGGGCUUGGCUGUUUUCCGUCCAGGUGUCAUCAUUGGUUUUAAGGUAGCCAAUGUUUGCUGGAGGUUUUGCUAAGAUUCUUCUGAAUCUGGAUGCCUCCGCAGUACAUUCUAUGCUACUGCAGAAGCCCAUUUCCUUCGCUUCGAUGUUCUUAUUUCUUUUUUGUAUGGGCUUAGAUUUGUAUGGUUUAUGUUCCAGGAAGCUUCGCUGUUGUCAUACUUAGCUCUAUUGAAGUAGGUUCUGCACUCGCUUUAAAGGUUCGUCAGGGUUGUGUUCCACCAGGGCGGUUUGACUAUUGUUUUGACCGUUCUGCUUGGGCAAUACUUUUUUAUGGCUUCACUGCAGAUGUCAGUGAAAGUAUUGACUAGGUUAUCUAGUUCUUGACCGUUGAGUACGUGCGUAGGUGGAGCAUGUAAGUUUCUGUUGAGUAGUUUUUUGUAAUAAUCCCAGUUGGUUAGUCUUAGAUUUGUAAUGUUCUCGGCCUGAGGAAUGUCUAGAGUUAUUGAAAAUUCUAUGUACCGGUGGUCUUAGAAUGAGUGUUCGAACCCCACUUUCCACGAUUCAAGCUGGUUAAGCAGGUGAUCAGUUAUUACUGUAAUGUCUAAGAGCAGCAGAUGCUGUGGUGCAGAUAAAUCUGCAGAAACAGCGCCAUCCACUAUGUCCUGGAGUACAGUGCGCGCCGGUCGGGUCGUGCCCUGUGUGCACAGCUGCUUCAGGCUUUCGGUGAGCUCUGGGUCAGUUGGCGCGUACCCUGUAUGGUUGGCCUCCUCGUGUUCCAACUCGUCGUCACUCGGGGGUUCGAAGGACGCGCAGGCAGCGUCCGCUAGUUUAUUCGUGUCGUAGAUGCGGAGUUGCACCUUGUCGAACCCAUAGUUCGGCCGGUUCUGCUGCGUUGCGAGGGGCUCUAAGCAUGCCUGGUUAAAAAGGAUCACCAUGUUCAUGGUGACGCGAUCGGUUUUCUCCACCUUAACCACUUUCCAACCAUCUGUCGGAAGCCUCGCAAACCUUGGUGAUGACUGGUUGCGCUAUAUCCAUCGACCUCUAUCUUGUUGCUUUGGCUUGUGGUCAGAGCGAUAUUAAAGUCUGGGAUAACCGUCUUUGCCCAGGCUAUGUCCUCUAGGAAUUUUCUGUAAUCCUCCUUAGACGUUUUGUCCUCUCUUAUGGGGUUGGUGGGCAGCCGUUUGAGGAUGCGGAACGCCUUCUUCCAUUCAAGAGGCCCUGCCUGGUUAGGUGGUGUCCUUUUGAACUUAUUGGCCCUGGUGCUUACCACAAGAUCAGCCUUGGCACGCCCUUCAGGUUGGACUGGCUGGUUUGCCGCUCCUACGCUGGUGGGAGGUUUGGGCUGAUCAUUGUGGGGUUUCGGGGCUUGUCGACUGCGUUGUUCGCUGGCCUUGGCAGGUGUAUAAGUCGUGUGGACUUGGGCUAUCGGAGCACCACUCUUGGUCUUCUGAUCUCAAUAGAUUCCACGAGCUGCGGAGAAAGAACUGGUCCACCCGGGCAGAGAUCCGCUGGGCCCGGGUAAGGCAAACUUAGAACAGGCGGUCGCCACAUGCCUGAGCCCAUCGUUUGAUACUGAGUUAUUUUUUUACUCGGGCUCUUAGCCAGAUUGACUUUUGGCACGGUACGAGUUACACCUUAGUCCAGGCCGGGGUAAGAUGAGUGGGGGGGAUAGGGAAGAGGUAGGUUUAGCAUGUGGGGAGGGGUUUUUUAAAAUUUAUUUUUUAUAUUCAUUUAUUACCUACACGUAUAUACAGACUAAAAGAUAAGUACAAGCAACAGGAGUAGGGGGCCGUGAUUGCGCGGUAUCACCGCAAGGUCUUGCUUCGCGCAAUGGUAUCCACCUAGGCUGUAGCUCCUCUCCUCUCGUUAUCGAUGCGACGCAGCGUUCGCAGUACACUCGCUACGUAGGCUGCCGUCGCUCCCCAAUUCACCUCAUUCAGCAGCAUGAGGGGCACAAAAGUUUCUAGCCGAACACUUGCCCCGGUGGUCUCCAUCAGUAUUUGGCAGUCGUAUCCAAAGCGGCGACAUUCAAAGAGGACAUGCUGAGCUUCCUCAACAAUUCCACUGCCGCACUCUGGGCAGCCGUCCUCCGUGUCGUGUUCGAAGCGCAUAAGGAAGCUUCGGAAGCAACCAUGUCCACUUAGCGCCUGCGUGAGGUAAAAAUCUACCUGGCCGUGCUUCCUGUUUACCCAAGGCUCUAUGCUGGGCAUGAGCUGGUGCGUCCAGCGUCCCUCGCUGGAGUUGUCCCAAGCUGCCUGCCAGUUGUCGACGCUCUGCAUCCUGGCACUGCUCUUCACCUCGGUCUUGGCUCUGUGGUCCGCCUGAUCGCCUGCUAGAGCCUCGCGAAUCUCCUUGGCCUCCCGCACCAGUUCACAUAGGGGAACUUGGCCUGCAAUGACAAGCGCUGCGUCGUCCGAGAAUCUCCUUGGCCUCCCGCACCAGUUCACAUAGGGGAACUUGGCCUGCAAUGACAAGCGCUGCGUCGUCCGAGAUCGUCCUAAAGGCACUCGAUAUUCUGACGGCACAAAGGCGGUACGUCGAGUUAACCCCUCGCAUGUAGCUGCUCACAGCCGUGGCCUCGGUCCACACCGGAGCAGCGUACAGCAAGUGGGAUUUGACAACGGUCGCGAGGAGCUUACGUCUGUCCUGCUUCGGUCCCCUGGUGUUCAGCAGGAUCCUGCAGAGCGAUCCCGUGAUCUCACUUGCUUUUUUAUUUACGUACUCUAAGUGUUCGCGGUAGGAGAGGCGGGUGUCCAGCAUGACUCCCAGCUACCUUAUGGCACGCUAAGAUACUAUCGUUGUCCCUCCGAUCUGGAUAUGCGCUGACUCCACUGCUUUCCUGCUUGAUAUCAGCACCGCUUAUUUUUUGUGUGAUGCCAGCUCUAGGCCCGCCAAUGAGAGCCACUCCUCCACUGCUCGAAAUGCGCAGUUUGCAGCUGCUUCCACGGCACCAACUUCCUUGGCCACCACAACCAGCGCGACAUCAUCUGCAAAGGCAACUAAUUUGGUGCUGCUCGGCAGUGGGAGCUUCAGAACUCCGUCAUACAUCGUGACUCACCUCGUAAGUCCUGGGGCCCAUAGAGGUUUCUAGGACCAGCUCCCUUUUGCUGAGGUAGCUGUGCACUACAUUCAGCAGGUAUUCCGGGAUGUUGAAGGACCGUAGUGCCUCCAGUGUUAUCGCCCAAUCGGCUGAGUUGAAAGCAUUCAGUAUGUCCAGCGUGACCACUAGAAAAUACUUUUUCGUCCCAUCUGGUACCAGCGAUGGCUUUAGCAGCAAUGUUGGUGACCCUCUCUAUCGCGUCCAGUGUCGAUUUCCCUUUCCGGAAACCGUAUUGGUUGGAAGAAAGUCCGACGGCAUCCUCCAUAGCAGCAUUAAGCCUUGUUGCAAUGACCCUUUCGAAGACCUUGCCUAUAGUGUCCAGCAGGCAGAUGGGUCUAUAAGAAGAGGCUCCACCCGUUGGUUUCCCUGGCUUUGGCAGGAGCAAGAGUUUUUGGCGCUUCCACCUGUCGGGGAAGGUCCCUUCCAGCAGGCUAGUGUAGAGCGAUGCUACCGCACCCGGAUGGAGGAAUCGCAGGGUCUUCACUGCACUGUUCGGGAUCAGAUCCGGCCCAGGUGCCUUCCUGUACUUCAAGAUUCUUGCCACAGAUAAUAUUUCCGUCUCCGUGACCGGACAUAUCGGGCUCCCAAUUUGUCGCGUCCAUCGGGGGAUGCAAUGGGGGCGGCCUUCUGGGAACAGCACUUGGACAAUACCUUCUAGGACCGCUGGGUCAGUAGGCGACCUAAUGCCGGCAUUCACACGCUUGACCACCGUCUUGGGUCGUUUUCCAGCUCGUCACAGAGCUUGAGGUAGCUUUCCCUCUUGCUGUCCCGCAUCGAUAGUUUGAGUGCCUUCUUUGCACUCCAAAAGCUCGAGUUGCAGCUAGCGAUUUCCUCACUCCACCAGUACACUGGCGCGUGGCGCUUCCAAUCCUUCCAGUGCACUGGCAAAGGUCUGUGGCCUAAAGGUGUCUUGGCGGUAGGCUUUUCUUGGCCCAGUCGUCGGCUGACUUUGACACGGAGGACCGCCAACUGUCAGCAGGAUGGCCUCAUGGUUGCUGGCCGUGAACACCUCGCCUAUCCUCCAGCGUUUGCUGCGGGAUAAAGAGCUGAGAGAGAGAGAGAUGAUUGAACCGGCCCCAGUUCUUUUGAAGGUGUGCUGGGUGCCCUCGUUCAACAGGACUAUGACCAGCGACACAAUAGCUUCGAGGAUGGUGCGCCCCCUGGCGUUGGUAUAGAGGGAGCCCCAUUCCUCGGCCCAGGCGUUAAAGUCGCCUCCGAUCACCACGUUGCUCCGUCCUCUCAGGUCGCUGCUCAACUCGUCCAGGAUCCUGCUUAAGGACGUCAGUGACAGACUGGGGCCAGAUAACAGCUGUAGAGCCACGUGCCGCCUACGUUCGCUCGGACGAACCCCUCUACUGCCCUCAUGUCCCGCACGGGUGGUGCACCCACUCCGCAGAGCCACAGUGCCGCUUUGCCUGUGCGAUCCGUGACCCAAUCGCUACUGCUUACCACUCUGUAGGGCUCACUGAGUAUCGCCACCUCAGAACCCAGCUCGCGCACCAUCUGCUUCAGGAGGUCCUGCGCGGCCUCCUGUGGUUCAGGUUUAGCCGAAUCAACUUCAUGUCGGUCCAGGUCUCCCUGUCCCGCUGGUUGUGGCUGAGCAGAAUCUGCUUCCUGCCUGGUCUCCUUCUUUCCUGCCGCAGAGCAGAUGAAGCAUGAAGGCUACUUGCUGCACUUGGCUGCCUUGUGCCCUUGUUCACCACAUCUUAUGCAGCAAUCGCUCCUAUCCACUAGGCUCUUGCAGUUAACUGCAAUAUGCCCGGGUUCCAAGCAUUUGAAGCAUCUUGGGAGGCCUGUUCUUUCCCGGAUCCUGCAGUUGGUCCAUCCAAUCCUCACCUCGCCACGAUGAGUUGAGGGAGUUGGGCAAUCUGAUGACUGCCGACUGCGACUCCGCGUAGCCUCGGCGCAGACUCCGAACUCUGAUGCGCUCCGCAUCGAUGUCAUACUGGCUCGUAAUCGCAGCGCAGGUUUCCUGCUCCGUCGCGAUGGAGUGGAUGUCUCGUAUCUCCAAAUCGAGCAGUUUAGUCUCGUCCGACAUGGCUCGCACUGACGCUGCGUCGCCUAGCACCCUCGCGAUGCUCUCCUUCAUGGUUUCUGCGCUUUCUGCGCUGCCUUUGGCCACCUCGAGCAGUAGGUUGCCGUUAAUGAUGCGGCGUACCUUGGAUACACAGCUUCCCAAGUCCAACAACUGUUUGUCUUCCCUUAGAGUCACCAUUGCUUACACCUCGCUGUAAGAUUUCCCGCUCGCCUGGACAACGACAGCGUCGGGUCUGGCGCGACGCGUGGCCUUCGGCUCUUUCUUGACCAGCUCCCACCCGGCGACCUGAAUUGCGGGGCCCACGGUCUUACUGGCGCCAGCGUGCGCCGCCUCUCUUUUUUGUGGCCCUUUUGGAGGGUUCAUUCGGGUACUCCUGGGAGCUAUGGCUCUUUUCUGCUGCGUUGGGCGCGAUGAUGGUGGGGCCAGUUGAGCUGCGGGUCCUCCGUUUGCGCUGCAGCAUUUCUCUUCCAGACAGGCGUUGUCUGCUGUUCAUUGUCGAGCAUUUCGAGCACACGAUUGCAGCAUCCUGGCUAUUCUCCCUGAUGCUGUCUUCCUUGCCGCCCUCUCUGUUCACCUCUAGGAUGCUCGUGUGAAGCGCCUUCAUGCGCACAAACGUCUCCCUCGUGGCGACAGUUAUAUGGCGCGCCGUCUUGUCCACCAUCUUGGUGGAUAUCUCCUGCAGAAGCUUCCCCAGUUCCAAGAGAUCCUCAAGGCAGGUUGCCUCGUGGAAGGCCUUGCUCCUUUUGGGCGGCGUUGUCCUCUGCGAGUUUUCUGGGCUUGCAGGAUCACGCGUUCUCUUAGGGGUUUCCUUAACUUACUUAGUAUCUGCGAUCAGCUCAUAAACUUGGGUUGACGAAGGUGGCGUCGAGCGGGCGAUCUUUCUGCCCCUCCUAAAUGCCGCUGCAACUCCAUCGGUCCCCUCUUCCCUCGGAUGGCGGGGAGAUCUUACCUCCACUGGUCUGCCCACGAAAGGGUUUUCAGCCUCCUCCAUCUCAGGCUUCCCGGUUUGCUCGAGGGAGGCUCCAGCGCUGGCCACAGAUUUCCCCUUGGCUUACGAUAGGGGAUAUACCGCCCCUUUUCGGUCCCCAGUCCUACAGUUCAGUAAAUCUUUUCUAUAUAAAUCCAAUCGUUGCAUUUGCCAGAGAGCCCGCCUAGUAUUCUUUCCAGCUCAACAACCAAAUCGUCUGGCUUCCUUGUCAGCUCCCACGAAGUUCUUGCCGUUACCCAGCGCAGCAUGCCUUCGACUGCAGACAAAAUUUCUGAUCGGAAUUAUGCAGGAAUCUGCCGACGGGUACGUGAACAGUGCUACCCAUCGCUUCUCAUGGUAUCGAGUCACAGUCACCAGCAAUGGCCCAAAAUAUUCCAGUACACUGUUCCUUAACGGCCAUACAUUGGCCUUCAAGCGAAGGCGCUAAAAAUUCCUUAAUAGCUGACUGUAGCUCGAGAAUCUGAAAUGAAAUACAAAAGUCGCUUGCUGCAACAAACGGAAUCCACUUCGAUCUUACUCGUCGUCGGUUAUAUCCGGACCUCGUUUAACUUCGGAUUCAGCUUGUGACCAGCUGCCCUCUGACUGCCUCAAAGCCGACUGUCCGCCUAGCCAUUGUGACUUCUGACUGAGGUCCACGUGGCACUGCAAGCGGGUUGCAUCAUCCGCCACACUCUAUUGGGAUACCUUUGUCGACUCCAAGAGUUCGGCCACACAAUUGCCGAUAAACUGUUUGUAAUUGCUAUGUGCGCUGCCGAUUAAACAAAGCCUUAGAGUCGGUCCACAGCACGAUUUUAUUGAUGGCCACACUGUGGCCCUCAUGACAGCGUCCAUCAGUCUCGUUCCAAGAAUACUGCCUGCAGUUUAAGCCGUGGGACUGACAUUGUUCGCAUCGGGGCGCGCUUUGUUUUGGCACAUACAGAGCUUACUAGCACGUCGUCACCCUCGUGAGUGACCAUCAAGUAGGCCAUUGCCGCAAAGGCUGAUUGACUUGCAUCCAUGAAAGCGGGAAAAUCUAUUUCCCGUAAAAAUCCGCGCCAAAAAAAAUGGUGUGGACAUCUUAACUGUUCAGUUCACAAAGGCUCUGUUGAUUUCACACUGCAGUGCACUUUCUGCCUCCAGAUAUCUCGCUACAGCAACUUAGCUGUUAUCUUGAGACAGCAGAGAAAUCACAGAGGAUCGACCGUAGACAUAACCAAGCUCUAAAAUUCCAUCUUUGUAGGGACUCGUUCACCGUUCAAUACGCCAAUACAUUCCCAAAAUCUUCUGUUUAGACUCACCCAUCCGACGCACAACACGUGUCCUGGUUGACCAAUGCUUUCUCUACAACGGGCAAACUGGAUAAAAACUAGCAUACCUCAAAUUCAGCGUUUGCAUGUAUCUUCUUCACUCGGGUAUAUACAAUGAUGGCUUCGCUCCCGGUAGCAAAACUGUCACAUAGUCAUCCACAGAAUGAAAAUCGAUGACUGCUUUCGGAUCUGAAUGCUCAAACUGUUUGGCAUUCACAGUAUUCACGUAAUGCGCGGCACUUGGCGAGCCGGCUGCUCCGAGGGUCUUUACGUUCAUCUCGAAGACAUCAGGAUCCCUGUUAUCGUCGCCAUCUCUCCCCAGGAAGCGUUGGCAAAACCAAUCCUCGGGUUGGAUCAGAGCUUGCCCCUCCAUAAAUCUAAUGUUGCUGUCUUUUGUUUAGGGCCUUCAGCUUUGGCAUCAAGAAGCAACCGAAUCUUUUCUGACCAAUUAGUGUUUUCGACGACAAAAUCAAUUAAGUACAAUAGCCAGUCGUCUUCCGUCGCGACUUUGUUGGGUUUCAGUCGUUGCGUAUCAUCUUCUUCUCGACAUUGAUUAAUUACUUGUACGCCAUAGUAAGCAUGUCUGGUAACUUAGCCCAAUCUCACCGUCGUGUCUUCGAGUAUUCUUUGUGCCAGCAGAGCUUCACACCAAAGUUUUCAUUAUAAAAAUAGUCUUCUACCAUCCUCUUAACAGUUCAUCCGUAGGCACAGUUAAAAGGCAAGAUGGUGAAACAUAUUUUCCACUUACAGGCCCAAAGGAACCCCUCCCAGCUCGGUUGCGGUCGCAUGUUGUCCCAGUCUGCCAAAACGUCGUGAUGGGACUCAUCGGUAGAGGCAAAUUCUAACGCACGCCUUGAAUAUCUCGUCGUUGUAGGGCCUGCAUUGACAGGCUCAGGUGCGGAAGUGAAUACACGUUUCGCAACGCGCGAUUGCUUACCUAAUCCACUGAUUUGCAGACUCACGACAUCGAGUAAAAGGCGGAAAGUAUGUAAUAGGAAGAAGGAAGCGUUUCCCACCCUAUAAAGAAUAUAUAUACUAGUCAAUCUAGACAUGUCCGCCUGUUCGUAUGAACGCUGAGAUCAUGGAAACUACAGGAGCCAGAUUCUUCUUCAAGUUUAUUUCAUCGAAGGGUCACGCUAACUACGACGCCUAUGACUCUGAAACCUGUCUAGCACCCACAUUUUGGAAAACUUUUGGAAAGUUGUGAUUGGGAUUUUAUUCUGACUAGAAAAUUAAUUUUCGCAUGUAGAUAAAUAUUGAUAUUUAUCUACAUGCGAAAAUUAAUGUUCUAUUAUUGUUCAAAUUCACCAUUCACUAAAAUGUUAUAUCCAAAUAAUAACCAAACGCCCAUAGAACCUGUCUAGCAUCCACAUUUUUGAAAAAAUUUGAAAAAGUGUUAUUGCUAUUUCGUUCUUACUAUCAUUACCCAUCUACAUGCCAAAUCUCUUGCUUUGUUAUUAUUCGAGUCCACUAUUCACUAAAAAGUUAUAAGUUAUAUAAUAAUAAUCAGUAGUCUCGAUUGAAUAAGCUACAGUGUAACAGGGAUGGACCAUGCAGUUAGCAUGACAUUGCAAAUUUACUAACACGCCACUCAGAGUAAGUCCAUAUAAAAUUUAGCUUCCCUUUUUUGCCCUAUCUUCGCAUGGGAACUAUAUGAUACAGUUGUCCGAUGUGGUACGUUCAGACUUACAUACUACAUGCAAUAAAAAUAAGUCUUUUGGAAUAGUUUUAUCCCGAUAGCUUUAUAUAUGGGAAACUAGUUUCUAUAAAUCGACACUUCUAGUGACGCCGAUUAAUAAUAUGUUUGUCUUUUAGGGUCGGAAACGUCUUCUAAUCUGCAAUACAAACACGUGACUAAAAUUCUAAUACCCACUGCAAGGGAAUACAAAUAAUUUCCCUCAUGUUUUUGGGUAUUUUUGAGGAAUACAAAAUUCUUUUUCAGUAUAUUUCUUCCUAAAUGUGGGUGUUUUAAGCAUUGAACAUCGUUUCACUUAGAUUGCGUAAGACUUAGAUAGUUUUUUCUGUGUUAUGAUCCACGCAUAAAUUUUCAAUUAAAUGUGUAGUUUAGUUUUUUUUUUGUAUUUUGUCGUUAAUUUUGGAAAGUAUUGACAAUAUCGAUGAUAAUUACUAUCAUAGAUUUACCAACAUUACUGGACAUGAUGGCUUGAAGCACAUUGUACUGAAGUUUUAGUUAAAUAGUAUUUUUUUAUGUUUUAUGAGUUAUGCAUCAAUUCUCAAUAUAAUUUAUUGUUUAGUUUUCUAUUGUUUUUCCAUUUUGUCGUUAGUAAUAGCCAAGUCUAUCGAUGAUGUCCAUUAUAAUAUUAUUACUAUUAUUAUAUAUUACUUUUGCGAAACCUUAGCCCGCAUUUGUUUUUUUUUCAAUUUUUGGAUAUUUAACAUUCUACAAAAGCCAUUUACGGUUUGGAUAUCACAAGUGGAGUUUUCCGCCGAAAAUAAUAAAAAUUAACCAACAUUUUUGUUUUUCACUAUUUUCAUUUAAAGAUAAAGUCGAAAAGUUAAGUACCCAUGCACAGUUUUUAUUGGCGUGGCACUUAAAUCCUAGGAACACUAAAAGCGAUCAUACAAAAAUCGUAGUUUUGAAACACAUUGCAAACCCGAAACAUUUUGCUUCUUUAUACCCGUAUAGAGGCUACAAAAAUUUUGGUCUAAAGUUUGUAACGCAGUGAAUAAGCCGUUUCCGACCUUAUGAAGUUUAUAUAGUCUAGAUCAGCAUCACUAGACGAGUCUAUAUAGCAGCGGUCGGCAGCACGUCAUUAAGCGGGCAUACAGCAUAAGAGCUCUGUUCGUUUUCUGCCACCACACGUUAAGUGUACAACAUCGGUCGGCACUCACACAACGAUAAGCUGAACCGCGCAAAUUACUCACACUAAUGAAAAGCAAAAUUUAUGUUAUUAUCAGGGCUCUCACAGAAACCUUCGAUGGCUUAUGUUGGUUGGAUUCCAAAGCAACCGUUGGUUUUACAGACUCUAUAGAGUUUCAGAGAAAACUUGUUCUGAUUUUGACUUGGCGAGAGUUGCCAUGGUACGCAGACAAAAGGAGUUUCCUGGAUUCAAUUUGUAACAUACUCUAUUGUGUUUGUUUUACGUAAGAAAAAUUGCACAGGCUAACAGAAAUUGUAUAUGCCUGUUACCAUUUUAUUUCGAUAAAAUAGGCGUUUACAACAUAAAUUGCAACUUUUACUAUAUUCGGUACUUGCGCUAUUUAUAAAUCUUUCUUUCAUAUACAUGCAAAUUAAAACAAGGAAGAACGCUAUAGUCGAGUACCUCGACUAUCAGAUACCCGUUACUCAGCUAAAGGGACCAAAGG